UAAUAAGUGUUUUAUGGCACUUUUUUAAAUCCAUAUCCACCUUGUGUGCAAUGUCAGUCGAUCUUCUUCAUGGAGAUCGACCAAACAUCAACCUUAUCUUUUAACUCUUUGUCUGAAAAAUAUUAUGAAUAAACAAUUCAAAAUA
This 145-nucleotide unclassified non-coding RNA is filed under the name soil metagenome. RNAcentral's name for it is "partial internal transcribed spacer 1". The record is from RNAcentral.